Molecule: long non-coding RNA, 376 nt
Organism: Hyaena hyaena (striped hyena)
Lineage: Eukaryota; Metazoa; Chordata; Mammalia; Carnivora; Hyaenidae
Exons: 4
Source: RefSeq, a predicted model, not a curated record
ACUGAGCCACCCAGGCGCCCCACCCCACCACCAUUUAUUGAAGAUCCUGUCCUUCCCUACUGUACCUUUGUUGGCACAGACAAGCUCCUUUUCAGCCCUGGAGAUGCCCCGCUACGGGUACCACCCGCCGCAGAACUCCUGAAUUCUGUCGAUGACUAUGGAUCUCAGGUUAAGAUCAAUGGUGGCUGAGAUGAAGAUGGAACGGCAUCCUGCACUUCCUGUCUGCUUCGUCAGAAAACAGCAAUGACUUAAUCUGCUGUGUCUAUGAGGUUUUGUUCUUUCGUGUUCUAGGCUGAGGCACAACCUUUCAGCACCCUCAUCUGGAGAUCCAAUGCCAUGGAAACAUUGACAAGUGGCCUCAAUUGUGACACUUGAA